Non-coding RNA from Triticum aestivum (bread wheat), 104 nucleotides. Lineage: Eukaryota; Viridiplantae; Streptophyta; Magnoliopsida; Poales; Poaceae. The record is from Rfam.
UUUAUACUCCCUCCGUUCCAAAAUAGAUGACUCAACUUUGUACUAAUUUUAGUUAAAGUUAGUACAAAGUUGAGUCAUCUAUUUUGGAACGGAGGGAGUACAUC